UACGAAGGGGGCUAGCGUUGUUCGGAAUUACUGGGCGUAAAGCGUGCGCAGGCGGCUUCUCAAGUCAGGGGUGAAAGCCCGGAGCUCAACUCCGGAACUGCCAUUGAAACUGUAAGACUUGAGGAUGAGAGAGGUGAGUGGAAUUCCCAGUGUAGAGGUGAAAUUCGUAGAUAUUGGGAAGAACACCGGUGGCGAAGGCGGCUCACUGGCUCAUAUCUGACGCUCAGGCGCGACAGCGUGGGGAUCAAACAGG
This 253-nucleotide ribosomal RNA is filed under the name uncultured bacterium. RNAcentral's name for it is "partial 16S ribosomal RNA". It matches the Rfam family "Bacterial small subunit ribosomal RNA", at positions 524 to 776 of the family's 1533-position model. The record is from RNAcentral.